GAGGGGGAGGAGAGGAGGAA
This 20-nucleotide microRNA is filed under the name Apis mellifera (honey bee). RNAcentral's name for it is "ame-miR-9894 (Mir9894)". The record is from RNAcentral. Lineage: Eukaryota; Metazoa; Arthropoda; Insecta; Hymenoptera; Apidae.